GCUUAGAGUUUGAUCCUGGCUCAGGACGAACGCUGGCGGCGUGCCUAAUGCAUGCAAGUCGAACGCACUCGCUUCGGCGAGUGAGUGGCGCACGGCUGAGUAACACGUGGGAACCUGCCCCCCGGUGGGGGAUAACGCGACGAAAGUUGCGCUAAUCCCGCAUACGUCCCCAGGGAGAAAGCGCCUCCGCGCGCCGGGGGAGGGGCCUGCGGCCCAUCAGGUCGUUGGUGGGGUAAUGGCCUACCAAGCCUAUGACGGGUAGCUGGUCUGGGAGGAUGACCAGCCAGACUGGGACUGAGACACGGCCCAGACUCCUACGGGAGGCAGCAGCAAGGAAUUUUCGGCAAUGGGCGCAAGCCUGACCGAGCAACGCCGCGUGCGGGAUGACGGCCUUCGGGUUGUAAACCGCUUUUCGGGGGGACGACCCUGACGGUACUCCCGGAACAAGCCCCGGCUAACUCUGUGCCAGCAGCCGCGGUAAGACAGAGGGGGCAAGCGUUGUCCGGAGUCACUGGGCGUAAAGCGCGCGCAGGCGGCUGCCUAAGUGUCGUGUGAAAGCCCCCGGCUCAACCGGGGGAGGCCAUGGCAAACUGGGUGGCUCGAGCGGCGGAGAGGUCCCUCGAAUUGCCGGUGUAGCGGUGAAAUGCGUAUAGAUCGGCAGGAAGACCAAGGGGGAAGCCAGGGGGCUGGCCGCUAGCUGACGCUGAGGCGCGACAGCGUGGGGAGCAAACCGGAUUAGAUACCCGGGUAGUCCACGCCGUAAACGAUGACCACUCGGCGUGUGGCGACUAUUGACGUCGCGGCGCGCCCUAGCUCACGCGAUAAGUGUCCGCUGAG
Molecule: ribosomal RNA, 837 nt
Filed under: uncultured bacterium
Lineage: Bacteria
Description: bacterial SSU rRNA
Rfam family: Bacterial small subunit ribosomal RNA
Source: RNAcentral